UACGUAGGGUGCAAGCGUUGUCCGGAAUUAUUGGGCGUAAAGAGCUCGUAGGCGGUCUGUCGCGUCGGCUGUGAAAACUCGGGGCUCAACUCCGAGCUUGCAGUCGAUACGGGCAGGCUAGAGUUCGGCAGGGGAGGCUGGAAUUCCUGGUGUAGCGGUGAAAUGCGCAGAUAUCAGGAGGAACACCGGUGGCGAAGGCGGGUCUCUGGGCCGAUACUGACGCUGAGGAGCGAAAGCGUGGGGAGCGAACAGG
This 253-nucleotide ribosomal RNA is filed under the name uncultured bacterium. Its description in RNAcentral is "partial 16S ribosomal RNA". It matches the Rfam family "Bacterial small subunit ribosomal RNA", at positions 524 to 776 of the family's 1533-position model. The record is from RNAcentral.